GAAAGGUGUGCUAAUACCAGAUACGUCUAUUUUAAUUCUUUUUUUAUAGAGAAAGGUGGCCUCUUCAUGAAAGCUACUGUGCGGGGAGGAGCUUGCGUACCAUUAGCUAGUUGGUAGGGUAACGGCCUACCAAGGCAACGAUGGUUAGCGGGUCUGAGAGGAUGAUCCGCCACACUGGAACUGGAACACGGACCAGACUCCUACGGGAGGCAGCAGUGAGGAAUAUUGCGCAAUGGGGGCAACCCUGACGCAGCGACGCCGCGUGGAUGAUGAAGGCCUUCGGGUUGUAAAAUCCUGUCAGAUGGGAAGAAAUGCACAUUGGUUAAUAUCUGGUGUGUUUGACGGUACCAUCAAAGGAAGCACCGGCUAACUCCGUGCCAGCAGCCGCGGUAAUACGGAGGGUGCAAGCGUUGUUCGGAAUUACUGGGCGUAAAGCGCGCGUAGGCGGCUAUGUAAGUCAUUUGUGAAAGUCCAUGGCUCAACCAUGGAAGUGCAUGUGAAACUGUAUAGCUUGAGUACUGGAGGGGGU
Molecule: ribosomal RNA, 529 nt
Filed under: uncultured bacterium
Lineage: Bacteria
Description: bacterial SSU rRNA
Rfam family: Bacterial small subunit ribosomal RNA
Source: RNAcentral